UACGUAGGGUGCAAGCGUUAAUCGGAAUUACUGGGCGUAAAGCGUGCGCAGGCGGUUGUGCAAGACAGAGGUGAAAUCCCCGGGCUUAACCUGGGAAUGGCCUUUGUGACUGCACGGCUAGAGUGUGUCAGAGGGGGGUAAAAUUCCACGUGUAGCAGUGAAAUGCGUAGAGAUGUGGAGGAAUACCGAUGGCGAAGGCAGCCCCCUGGGAUAACACUGACGCUCAUGCACGAAAGCGUGGGGAGCAAACAGG
RNAcentral lists this ribosomal RNA (253 nucleotides) under uncultured bacterium. RNAcentral describes it as "partial 16S ribosomal RNA". It matches the Rfam family "Bacterial small subunit ribosomal RNA", at positions 524 to 776 of the family's 1533-position model. The record is from RNAcentral.